Molecule: small nucleolar RNA, 138 nt
Organism: Ornithorhynchus anatinus (platypus)
Lineage: Eukaryota; Metazoa; Chordata; Mammalia; Monotremata; Ornithorhynchidae
Source: RefSeq, a predicted model, not a curated record
CCCCUCUCAGGAUUGCACCUAGAGAGUUUCCAGUACUCUACCAGUCCUGGCUACGGGAGGGGGAGUCAAGCAGAAGCAUAUCCAUUUCAUUCUUAGCUUGGGCAGUGGCUAGUGAGUGGAAGGUAAUCUGCUACAAGU